UACGUAGGGUGCAAGCGUUGUCUGGAAUUAUUGGGCGUAAAGAGCUCGUAGGCGGUUUGUCGCGUCGGCUGUGAAAACCCGGGGCUCAACUCCGAGCUUGCAGUCGAUACGGGCAGGCUAGAGUUCGGCAGGGGAGACUGGAAUUCCUGGUGUAGCGGUGAAAUGCGCAGAUAUCAGGAGGAACACCGGUGGCGAAGGCGGGUCUCUGGGCCGAUACUGACGCUGAGGAGCGAAAGCGUGGGGAGCGAACAGG
RNAcentral lists this ribosomal RNA (253 nucleotides) under uncultured bacterium. RNAcentral describes it as "partial 16S ribosomal RNA". It matches the Rfam family "Bacterial small subunit ribosomal RNA", at positions 524 to 776 of the family's 1533-position model. The record is from RNAcentral.